This 306-nucleotide long non-coding RNA is filed under the name Monodelphis domestica (gray short-tailed opossum). RNAcentral's name for it is "lncRNA (ENSMODG00000048631.1)". The record is from RNAcentral. Lineage: Eukaryota; Metazoa; Chordata; Mammalia; Didelphimorphia; Didelphidae.
AUGGGGAAGGGAAAGGAAAGACCCUGAAAAACAGUCUGAAGAAUGGGAAGCGUCAAGAACAGGUCAAUGCCAGAUGCACUUUUGACUCAUGGACCAGACUCAGCUUGAUGACUAAACCUAUCCAGUACCAAAAAGGACUUGCCCCAUUCCCGACCGUCUUUCUAUAGUCUACUACUUCUCGUGGACCUGAAGCUCUCUCACGAUUGGGCAUUGAGGCUGUUUCAGGAGUGAUUUUUCUAAUUCGUCACAUGUUCCUGGUUUCUCAAGGACUGGCUUGUCAAAUGUCAUUGCUGAGACUAUGAGUGU